This 1049-nucleotide ribosomal RNA is filed under the name uncultured Campylobacterota bacterium. RNAcentral describes it as "bacterial SSU rRNA". It matches the Rfam family "Bacterial small subunit ribosomal RNA", at positions 8 to 1069 of the family's 1533-position model. Lineage: Bacteria; Pseudomonadati; Campylobacterota. The record is from RNAcentral.
AGAGUUUGAUCCUGGCUCAGAAUGAACGCUGGCGGCGUGCUUAACACAUGCAAGUCGAACGGUAACAGGACUAGCUUGCUAGUUGCUGACGAGUGGCGCACGGGUGAGUAAUAUAUAGUUAACGUGCCCCUAAGCCUGGGAUAGCCACUGGAAACGGUGAUUAAUACUGGAUAUUCCUUCUACUUAUAAGAGUAGUUGGGAAAGGUUUUUCGCUAAGGGAUCGGACUAUAUUGUAUCAGCUAGUUGGUGAGGUAAGAGCUCACCAAGGCAAUGACACAUAGCGGGUUUGAGAGGAUGAUCCGCCACACUGGUACUGAGACACGGACCAGACUCCUACGGGAGGCAGCAGUGAGGAAUAUUGCGCAAUGGGCGAAAGCCUGAUGCAGCAACGCCGCGUGGAGGAUGACGCAUUUCGGUGUGUAAACUCCUUUUAUAUGUCAAGAAAAUGACGGUAGCAUAUGAAUAAGCACCGGCCAACUCCGUGCCAGCAGCCGCGGUAAUACGGAGGGUGCAAGCGUUAUUCGAAAUCACUGGGCGUAAAGGACGCGUAGGCGGGUUGGUAAGUCAGAUGUGAAAUCCUACAGCUUAACUGUAGAACUGCAUUUGAAACUACUAACCUAGAGUAUGGGAGGGGGAGAUGGAAUUAGUGGUGUAGGGGUAAAAUCCGUAGAUAUCACUAGGAAUACCGAAAGCGAAGGCGAUCUCCUGGAACAUAACUGACGCUAAGGCGUGAAAGCGUGGGGAGCAAACAGGAUUAGAUACCCUGGUAGUCCACGCCCUAAACGAUGAACACUAGUCGUCGGGAUGCUAGUCAUCUCGGUGAUGCACUUAACAGAUUAAGUGUUCCGCCUGGGGAGUACGGUCGCAAGAUUAAAACUCAAAGGAAUAGACGGGGACCCGCACAAGUGGUGGAGCAUGUGGUUUAAUUCGAAGAUACGCGAAGAACCUUACCUAGCCUUGACAUUGAUUGAACACUUUAGAAGAUAGAGUGGUGCCCUUCGGGGAACAUGAAAACAGGUGCUGCACGGCUGUCGUCAGCUCGUGUCGUG